AUUGAACGCUGGCGGCAUGCCUUACACAUGCAAGUCGAACGGCAGCACGGGAGCAAUCCUGGUGGCGAGUGGCGAACGGGUGAGUAAUAUAUCGGAACGUGCCCAGUCGUGGGGGAUAACGUAGCGAAAGCUACGCUAAUACCGCAUACGAUCUAUGGAUGAAAGCGGGGGAUCGCAAGACCUCGCGCGAUUGGAGCGGCCGAUAUCAGAUUAGGUAGUUGGUGAGGUAAAGGCUCACCAAGCCGACGAUCUGUAGCUGGUCUGAGAGGACGACCAGCCACACUGGAACUGAGACACGGUCCAGACUCCUACGGGAGGCAGCAGUGGGGAAUUUUGGACAAUGGGCGCAAGCCUGAUCCAGCAAUGCCGCGUGCAGGAUGAAGGCCUUCGGGUUGUAAACUGCUUUUGUACGGAACGAAACGGUGAGCUCUAAUACAGUUUGCUAAUGACGGUACCGUAAGAAUAAGCACCGGCUAACUACGUGCCAGCAGCCGCAGUAA
Molecule: ribosomal RNA, 500 nt
Filed under: uncultured bacterium
Lineage: Bacteria
Description: partial 16S ribosomal RNA
Rfam family: Bacterial small subunit ribosomal RNA
Source: RNAcentral